GGAGAGAUGGCCGAGUGGUUUAAGGCAGCGGUCUUGAAAACCGCCGAAGGGGCAAACCUUCCGUGGGUUCGAAUCCCACUCUCUCCGCCA
This 90-nucleotide transfer RNA is filed under the name Lysobacter sp. OAE881. RNAcentral describes it as "tRNA-Ser". It matches the Rfam family "tRNA". Rfam says of the family: Transfer RNA (tRNA) molecules are approximately 80 nucleotides in length. Their secondary structure includes four short double-helical elements and three loops (D, anti-codon, and T loops). The record is from RNAcentral. Lineage: Bacteria; Pseudomonadati; Pseudomonadota; Gammaproteobacteria; Lysobacterales; Lysobacteraceae.